UACGGAGGGUGCAAGCGUUAAUCGGAAUUACUGGGCGUAAAGCGCGCGUAGGUGGUAAAUUAAGUUGGAUGUGAAAUCCCCGAGCUCAACUUGGGACCUGCAUUCAAAACUGGUUUGCUAGAGUAUAGUAGAGGAUGGUGGAAUUUCCUGUGUAGCGGUGGAAUGCAUAGAUAUAGGAAAGAACAUCAGUGGCGAAGGCGUCCAUCUGGACUAAUACUGACGCUGAGGUGCGAAAGCGUGGGGAGCAAACAGG
RNAcentral lists this ribosomal RNA (253 nucleotides) under uncultured bacterium. RNAcentral describes it as "partial 16S ribosomal RNA". It matches the Rfam family "Bacterial small subunit ribosomal RNA", at positions 524 to 776 of the family's 1533-position model. The record is from RNAcentral.